GCCUUCGUGGUGUAACGGUAGCACAUUCGGCUCAUUGGAGAGGUCCAGGUUAAAGUCCCGGCGAUGGCA
This 69-nucleotide transfer RNA is filed under the name Stegodyphus mimosarum. It matches the Rfam family "tRNA". Rfam says of the family: Transfer RNA (tRNA) molecules are approximately 80 nucleotides in length. Lineage: Eukaryota; Metazoa; Arthropoda; Arachnida; Araneae; Eresidae. The record is from Rfam by way of RNAcentral.